AGAGUUUGAUCAUGGCUCAGAUUGAACGCUGGCGGCAGGCCUAACACAUGCAAGUCGAACGGUAACAGGAAGCAGCUUGCUGCUUUGCUGACGAGUGGCGGACGGGUGAGUAAUGUCUGGGAAACUGCCUGAUGGAGGGGGAUAACUACUGGAAACGGUAGCUAAUACCGCAUAACGUCGCAAGACCAAAGAGGGGGACCUUCGGGCCUCUUGCCAUCAGAUGUGCCCAGAUGGGAUUAGCUUGUUGGUGAGGUAACGGCUCACCAAGGCGACGAUCCCUAGCUGGUCUGAGAGGAUGACCAGCCACACUGGAACUGAGACACGGUCCAGACUCCUACGGGAGGCAGCAGUGGGGAAUAUUGCACAAUGGGCGCAAGCCUGAUGCAGCCAUGCCGCGUGUAUGAAGAAGGCCUUCGGGUUGUAAAGUACUUUCAGCGGGGAGGAAGGUGGUGAGUUUAAUAAGCUUAUCAAUUGACGUUACCCGCAGAAGAAGCACCGGCUAACUCCGUGCCAGCAGCCGCGGUAAUACGGAGGGUGCAAGCGUUAAUCGGAAUUACUGGGCGUAAAGCGCACGCAGGCGGUCUGUCAAGUCGGAUGUGAAAUCCCCGGGCUCAACCUGGGAACUGCAUUCGAAACUGGCAGGCUUGAGUCUUGUAGAGGGGGGUAGAAUUCCAGGUGUAGCGGUGAAAUGCGUAGAGAUCUGGAGGAAUACCGGUGGCGAAGGCGGCCCCCUGGACAAAGACUGACGCUCAGGUGCGAAAGCGUGGGGAGCAAACAGGAUUAGAUACCCUGGUAGUCCACGCCGUAAACGAUGUCUACUUGGAGGUUGUGCCCUUGAGGCGUGGCUUCCGGAGCUAACGCGUUAAGUAGACCGCCUGGGGAGUACGGCCGCAAGGUUAAAACUCAAAUGAAUUGACGGGGGCCCGCACAAGCGGUGGAGCAUGUGGUUUAAUUCGAUGCAACGCGAAGAACCUUACCUGGUCUUGACAUCCACGGAAGAAUCCAGAGAUGGAUUUGUGCCUUCGGGAACCGUGAGACAGGUGCUGCAUGGCUGUCGUCAGCUCGUGUUGUGAAAUGUUGGGUUAAGUCCCGCAACGAGCGCAACCCUUAUCCUUUGUUGCCAGCGGUUAGGCCGGGAACUCAAAGGAGACUGCCAGUGAUAAACUGGAGGAAGGUGGGGAUGACGUCAAGUCAUCAUGGCCCUUACGACCAGGGCUACACACGUGCUACAAUGGCGCAUACAAAGAGAAGCGACCUCGCGAGAGCAAGCGGACCUCAUAAAGUGCGUCGUAGUCCGGAUUGGAGUCUGCAACUCGACUCCAUGAAGUCGGAAUCGCUAGUAAUCGUGGAUCAGAAUGCCACGGUGAAUACGUUCCCGGGCCUUGUACACACCGCCCGUCACACCAUGGGAGUGGGUUGCAAAAGAAGUAGGUAGCUUAACCUUCGGGAGGGCGCUUACCACUUUGUGAUUCAUGACUGGGGUGAAGUCGUAACAAGGUAACCGUAGGGGAACCUGCGGUUGGAUCACCU
Molecule: ribosomal RNA, 1530 nt
Filed under: Salmonella enterica
Lineage: Bacteria; Pseudomonadati; Pseudomonadota; Gammaproteobacteria; Enterobacterales; Enterobacteriaceae
Description: bacterial SSU rRNA
Rfam family: Bacterial small subunit ribosomal RNA
Source: RNAcentral